CCUGUAAGCUCCAACCAGCAGGUGGAAUCCAGGAGUUCCAAGGUCCUAAGGGUCCUUACCCCUCAGCUGAGAAAAUAGGGAAAGCCUCAUAUUAGAUGUCAGUACACAAGUUCAGCCAAAUGCUUGUGAAAUUUCUUCUGAACGCAUCCCAGGAGACUUGACCCUCCCCGCUUCAGGAUGCUGACUCUGUUUUGCCUGAAACCAGACAAGCUCUGCUUCAGGGUCUGUGAGUGGAAGGGGGUGGGUGGGAACCUCUCGCAACCUCUCCUGGGACAGACACAAUGGGCAAUCGUGACCUCCUGGGGUAGAUACUGAAACUGUGACAAGUGAUAACAAAACUGGCAGAAAUCAGUUGGACCCAAUAUGGCCAACUGGAGUUUCUGCAGAAAGAGCUUGCUGAUAUCACAGCCUGAAUUUCCACGCAUGUUUCGUAUUAACUGCCCCGGAAUUUGAUUUGCACACAGCACCCAUGAGGAAGCAUGAAGAGAUAACUGCGCAUGUCUGAGGACUUGCCAGACCUCCUCUUUCCUUCCACCGAUCUCCUGCUAAUCCCGGAACCCACCCUCUAACCCUUUUCUAAUAAAAUUAUUUCCUUAAAGGCA
Molecule: long non-coding RNA, 602 nt
Organism: Homo sapiens (human)
Lineage: Eukaryota; Metazoa; Chordata; Mammalia; Primates; Hominidae
Exons: 2
Source: RefSeq, a predicted model, not a curated record